Alosa alosa (allis shad) is the source of this 500-nucleotide long non-coding RNA. RefSeq lists it as uncharacterized. NCBI's taxonomy places the organism in Eukaryota, Metazoa, Chordata, Actinopteri, Clupeiformes, Clupeidae. The record is from RefSeq and is a predicted model, not a curated record. The transcript has 4 exons.
UUUUUGGAGGGUCUACUGCUGUUCAAUCAGAAAAAGAACAAUUGGCACGGUACUGUGAAAUCUCAAGAAGUGAGUUUGAGGCUGAUCCGAAUGCCUGUGGUCCUCCACGCACCCCAGAGACAUAUGACGCGGCGGUUGCUGAUCUCCAGGCUGACAACAUCCAAGGCGUCAGAGGAAUAAAGUGGAAAUAUGGGUGACUCAGAGCGAACCUUCCUAGAUGUUGCCAUUAUGGAAGCCCUACCAGAACUUCCAGCGGUGAACAAAAACAUCCUGGAGGAGCACUUACAGUCCAUUGGAGUCGAGACCUCUGAGGAUCUACGCUUUGUAACAGAGGCAGAUUUAAUGACCGGACUAAGACCUGUGCAAGCCAGAAAGCUUAUUUCUAUUUGGAAACAGAAAUACCAAACUCCCGAGAACAGCUCAGGACAGCUAUCAUCUGUGGAAUCGCUGUCAUCGCUCUCUCUUUCACCCAGAAGUUCAACGUCAACCUCAUCCAGCAG